This 661-nucleotide long non-coding RNA is filed under the name Lytechinus variegatus (green sea urchin). RNAcentral describes it as "uncharacterized LOC121421628". The record is from RNAcentral. Lineage: Eukaryota; Metazoa; Echinodermata; Echinoidea; Temnopleuroida; Toxopneustidae.
CAAGAUCUUGAAGUUAAGAGUGACUGACCAGAAUCAGAAUGGCGACCUGGCAAAUCUUAUUAAAAGAAUGGGACCAUGAAGACCUCAUUGAAACUUUCGAAGUAAAUGGAAUUGAUGAUAGAUUCUGGCUGUUGGAGAGCGAGGAAAUUAAAGAGCUUAUUCCAAAGAUGGGACCUAGGCUAAAAUUCAUCCAAAAAUUCUCUGUACAGUAACUGCUGCCAAAAAUAAUCAACAUGUCAUCUUUCAUCUGCUGCAAAUGUCUUUCUAAAAUUCCUGGAGGAAUUUCUGGGCUAUUUUGCCACCUGAAAGUAGUCUGGUAUACUAACAUCUACUUGCACAAAACUUGUUUGUGUAGAAUGUAAGGAAAUUUUGAGCCGUGGAUCAUCAUACAAAAGGCACCUCAUAGGGCAUUUGCAACCCCCUACAGUUCAGGCUGAUGACCAGUGCCAAGCUAAUAGAGUUCCUCAUAUUGACAUAUCUGACUUAUCUAAUGUAAGCAGUCAUGGGGAAUAAAGUGAUGAUGACUGGAAUCGUGUUGAAAUGAAUGCAGAUGCUGAUAUCGUUAAUGACACUGAAUAUGAUUCUCAAGAAAGCCUAUCAGACCUUGUAGCUGCUUUUUAGCUCAUUUACAAAGCAUUUUAAUUAUUGUUAACUUGGAGUA